AUUCCAGCUCCAAUAGCGUAUAUUAAAGUUGUUGCAGUUAAAAAGCUCGUAGUUGGAUUUGUGGUGUACUUCGGCGGCCCGUCACUAUGUGAUGGAGCUUGCUGAAGUCGCCAUCCUUGGGUGGAUCCUGUGUGGCAUUAAGUUGUCGUGCAGGGGAUGCCCAUCGUUUACUGUGAAAAAAUUAGAGUGUUCAAAGCAGGCUUAUGCCGUUGAAUAUAUUAGCAUGGAAUAAUAAGAUAGGACCUUGGUACUAUUUUGUUGGUUUGCGCACCAAGGUAAUGAUUAAUAGGGACAGUUGGGGGUAUUCGUAUUUCAUUGUCAGAGGUGAAAUUCUUGGAUUUUUGAAAGACGAACUACUGCGAAAGCAUUUACCAAGGAUGUUUUCAUUG
Molecule: ribosomal RNA, 389 nt
Filed under: Cylindrotheca sp.
Lineage: Eukaryota; Bacillariophyta; Bacillariophyceae; Bacillariales; Bacillariaceae
Description: partial small subunit ribosomal RNA
Rfam family: Eukaryotic small subunit ribosomal RNA
Source: RNAcentral